UACGUAGGGUGCAAGCGUUAAUCGGAAUUACUGGGCGUAAAGCGUGCGCAGGCGGUUAUGUAAGACAGUUGUGAAAUCCCCGGGCUCAACCUGGGAAUUGCAUCUGUGACUGCAUAGCUAGAGUACGGUAGAGGGGGAUGGAAUUCCGCGUGUAGCAGUGAAAUGCGUAGAUAUGCGGAGGAACACCGAUGGCGAAGGCAAUCCCCUGGACCCGUACUGACGCUCAUGCACGAAAGCGUGGGGAGCAAACAGG
This 253-nucleotide ribosomal RNA is filed under the name uncultured bacterium. RNAcentral's name for it is "partial 16S ribosomal RNA". It matches the Rfam family "Bacterial small subunit ribosomal RNA", at positions 524 to 776 of the family's 1533-position model. The record is from RNAcentral.